AUGGAUUUGAAUUUGAUGCCGGAAGAGGAGGACGGAACUCAAGAAGAACAAGCUCAACAGGGUGACGUUAUUGAUUUGAAUUUGAUGCCGAAAGAGGAGGACAAAGCUCAAGAAGAAGAACAAGCUCAACAGGGUGACGCUAUUGAUUUAAACUUGAUGCCGGAAGAUGAGGAUGAAGACAUUGAAUUGAAUUGGUUUCCUGAAGAGGAAGAAGCUCAAGAGGCACAAGAAGACGCAGAAUUGGAAGAAGCUCAAUAUGCACAAGAAGAUGCAGAAGUUCAAGAAGCUCAAGAUGCACAAGAAGAUGAAGAAGUGCAAGAAGCUGAUGCACAUGGCAAUCCAAGAGGGAAGGACUUGACAGACAAGGAGAGACACGGUGUUUACUUUGCUCUGCGAGUAAUCGAGCUUAGAGAUGGACAGGUUCACGUGUAUGACAAGGUGCUCAUCGCGACUAUGCUGAAUGUUCACCUGCGAACAGUUACAAGAAUAUGGAAUCUAGCCAAACGACAACUUGCAGCAGGCCAAGAAGUUGAUGUUUCAAGCAAGAAGAAUAAAAGUGGUAGGAAGAGAAAAGAACUAGAUCUGUCGAGAACAGCCACAAUCCCUUUGAACAAAAGAAGAACAAUCCGUUCUCUAGCAAGGUGUUUAGGUGUGCCCCGUUCAACCCUACAUGACAGAUUUCAAUUGCAAGAGCUAAAACGCAUCACAAGCACCAUCAAACCCACCCUCAAGCCACAGAACAAGAUAGCGAGACUAAAGUUCUGCCUAUCCAUGAUGGAUGAAAGAUGGAUAUCAAGUCCUUGGCCCAGUUUCAAGCCAAUGACAAAUAUGGUCCACAUCGAUGAGAAAUGGUAUGACAUGACCCGAGUGAAGAGUAGCUACUACGUACUGCCUGGAGAAGAAGAACCAAAUCGAACUGUGCACAAUACACAUAGCAUUGGGAAGGUAAUGUUUCUAACAGCUGUGGCCAAACCUCGCUACAAUGACGAUGGGGAGAUGACAUUUGAUGGAAAACUUGGCAUUUGGCCGUUCGUGGUAGAGACCGAGGCACAACGAAGAAGCCAGAACAGAGACAGGGGGACAAUAGAGUUGAGGCCGGUCAAAGUUACUAGACCUGUGUGCAGAGAUUACCUGAUCAAUAAAGUAAUCCCUGCCAUUCAAGACAAAUGGCCUGACGGUGACGAGGACACAACGAUCUUAAUUCAACAAGAUAAUGCAACACCGCAUGUCCUCCCUAAUGAUGCUGGUUUUCUAGAGGCCGUGGCACAGACAGAUCUGGAUAUUCGAUUAUUGCAACAACCACCGAACAGCCCUGAGCUCAAUGUUCUAGAUCUUUGUUUCCACUGCUCCCUCCAAUCCCUAACCGACUGCAGAGCGCCUAUGAAUAUACAGGAACUGGUACAGGGUGUAGAGGAGGAGUUUGAGAACUACGAUCCCCAUAAGCUGUUCAAAAGCUUUAUGACGUUGCAAGCAGUCAUGGUGGAAGUGAUGAAAGAUCAAGGAGGAAACAACUACAAGAUGCCGCAUCUGCAUAAGGAACGUCUACAGAAUGCUGGAGAGGAAAUAACCGGUGUAUACUGCAGUCCGGAGCUAAUUACUGACACCAAGGCCAUUAUAGAACAAGGAAAUGAGUAG
This 1635-nucleotide ribosomal RNA is filed under the name Triticum aestivum (bread wheat). RNAcentral describes it as "partial small subunit ribosomal RNA". Lineage: Eukaryota; Viridiplantae; Streptophyta; Magnoliopsida; Poales; Poaceae. The record is from RNAcentral.